AUCUGCUCAUCUCCUUAGGCAGGACUCCAAUACCCAAAUACAGAGCAGAUACACUUGCGUAUCUUGUGAAGAAAAGCUUUAAGAAGACAAAGGUGUUGAUUCUGAUUUGCCUGUUUUCACCUCCUCAGUGUGCCUGCCUGUCACUUCGUUCCCUAAUGUGAUCUUUUUGGAGGGGCUUAGACCUAACUUUCAGAUGACUGUAUUUCUAUUACUCAACAGUUUAAUAUUUUCAUCUAUGGAGCUGGUUCUUAAAAAUGAGAUGAAUGCAAGUGCAGAAGCCGUGAAAGAACCACAGGAAAUUUGUACCACAUUUGCUUGAAGCAUUUGCAAAACCACUAUGAAGAGGGUCUAAACCAAACACUGUAAGUCUCAUUGUGUUCCACAGCAAUCGGCAGAACCCACAGUGAGGAUUAAGUCCUUUUCUUCAUACCACUGAGGAGCCAGAACUCUGAUUCCACAGGCCUUUGCAAAUUGCCUGUACCAUUGAAGAGCAGGGGAUGGAACGCAUUAAGAAAAGAACCCCGAGAGGAACUUCAAGGUGUUAUUCCAAGCUCUCCGGCUGUCUCAGUGUAAUCUAUCGCAAACAAAGCACUGCUGUGAGACAUGAUGACUCUUCAAACCGUCCUGUGAAAGGAGCCAAUGUAAAUGAACACAGUGGGCCAAACUCAAAGUUUCUGCAUGAAAUCUGGCAAGAAAACCCCUCAGGUAUGGUUGAAGAUAUUGCACAAUCUUUCUGUCAAAUGUAAGUCCAAUCACAUUCGGAUACGUUUUUAAAGUAAUAGUCAGGAUGAUUUAGAUUAAAAUUGUCCUUUGGUGAACUGCAAACUAUUUAUGCUAUUUUGUACCUUGUUUUCUUUCACAUAGCCAAUGAGGAUGAUGGGAAAUUGUGAAAUAGUCCCAGAUCAGGGAAAGGUAGGACAGUUUCUGGAAUGAUUUUGUGUAAAUCUAAGUUGUAGCUAGCAACAGACUGGAACUGAUUUGCAGUGCCUUCUGUAGUUUAUUACAGACAUUGGUGGUCACAGGCAGCGUUGUGUCUUUUGCUCAGAGCUGCCUGCAUCCCCUAUGCAGCAUUUUCUAUCAUGCCUGGAGUACUAGUUCUUCAAGACAUGACUUAGGAGCUUCUGGAAGUUUUGGGGGCAAUGGGUCAGUCAUCUGAUUUUAUUUAGGACAUCAGUGGUCUGCCUGAUUUUUUUCUUAAAGAACACUCAGAAUUAAAGAAAGAAAAAGUCCAUUCUUUAGUAUGAUCCUAAAAUACCUUUUGAUAGAAAUUAUUGGGUUUCAUUUAGAAAUAUCAGGCUGGCAGCUGCUACUUUUGAGGCAUCUGUAGAGAUUUGGGAUAGAUGUGUGUCAACCAAAACUGGAAGUGGCAUGGAGGAAGAUGCUUGGUGCCAGUCAGCCCGGUGGGGCAGGACAAUGGACAUAUUGAUGCAGAGGACAUCAGAGAUGCCAGCUCCUGUCCAGAGCCCUCCUCCACCCAUUGCCUGUUCCCUGGAGAUGAGCAUGAGCUUAACGGAAAUUCAUUUAUCAUGAGAAGGAGAGAGCAAGCCAGCUGGGAGCUAGGAAAAGGGAAAUGUCCCCUGACCACAUAGUGGGACAGUACCAGGGUCAGGCACUCUUUUGUCCCAGAGCUGACCCAACCCACACUCAUGACGUCCACCCCAGCCCUGCCACUUCUGCACUUCAGUAUCCCCUCCUACUCUCCCUGGCCCUUAGGAACUGAGCCCAUUGCUCCUCCGCAGCAGCUGGACGGUGUCCCAGGACCUUUCGGACAUCCCUGCUCCUCCAUGGUGACACCCGCCGCAGGGAGAAAAGUCAUCAGAGUUGAAGAGUCAGCAUCCACUGCGCUGAGUGUUUGAUUUCUUUUACAGCAGUGCUCAUUCCCAUGGCUUCAGUUUGCUCCCGUGGCCCGAAAUAGCUGUGAGGCCACGCACAUAGUGUACAUGGCGAAAUGGCACCUCAUCCUCAAGUACCCAGAAUGGGAUGCUUUUCUGAAGAAUAAGGGUGCUUGAGACAUGGCUGCAAAGCUGUGACAGCUGUCCGUGCUCUGUAGCCAGAGGUUAAGCCAGUUUUGUGCUUCCAACUGAGGAUUUUUACUGAACUUUGAGGUAGAAAAAGAAGCUUUUGUGCAGGAGACCCAUGAUGACAUUUGUUAAUGUCCAAUGUGUGACCAAGAAGCCCUCUGGAAGCUGUCAUCUUCCUCCCUACAAAGGCUGUUGCCAACUGGUUAAUUUUCAUUAGUCCAGAUUUCAGAGCCUAUGGUCUGUUAUCUGUUUGUUGGACUGUGGAUGAAAAAUCUGGGUUGUUUACAAACUGCUGGACAUGCAUGCAGUGCCUCAUCUAAACACAGAAACCACAGUACAUCAAAUCUCUCAAGGCCAUUCACUUGCCCUUUGGAGGCAUUUAUUGCAUCUUCUCAUUUCUCUCUGUUUCCUUCCUCUUAUAAUUUGGACUCAAAUAUUUGCUUUGAUACAAAUAUUUAAAGACACUUAGUUCUGCUGAAGUCUGAGAGCAGCAAAAUCAACAAAUGAGGGAAAAGCCUGAAGUGAAUGAAAGAACAAAAACUCACAUAAAACAGCCAAGAGAUAAUCACAACUGACUGUUUUCUGCAGAAAGCAAUGUUUCACCUUAUAAAAAACAAAAGACAGUUGCAAAUUUCCUUGCUGCUUUCAAGAUAAGAAGAAAAUUACAAAUACUUCACAGAAUAAUAAUAAUAGAAUUAGGCAGUUAUCAAGGGCAUAUCAUCAGAAAUUAUCAAGAAAACACAUUUAGAGGGACAGGAGUUCAAGAAAGCUUUUUGCAAAAUAAAAUGGCAAUGUUAUUAAUUAUAAGUUGUGGU
RNAcentral lists this long non-coding RNA (2836 nucleotides) under Anas platyrhynchos platyrhynchos (common mallard). RNAcentral describes it as "lncRNA (ENSAPLG00000027702.1)". Lineage: Eukaryota; Metazoa; Chordata; Aves; Anseriformes; Anatidae. The record is from RNAcentral.